UACGGAGGGGGCUAGCGUUGUUCGGAAUUACUGGGCGUAAAGCGCACGUAGGCGGAUAGUUAAGUCAGGGGUGAAAUCCCGCAGCUCAACCGCGGAACUGCCUUUGAUACUGGGAAUCUCGAGUACGGGAGAGGUGAGUGGAAUUCCGAGUGUAGAGGUGAAAUUCGUAGAUAUUAGGAAGAACACCAGUGGCGAAGGCGGCUUACUGGUCCGGUACUGACGCUGAGGUGCGACAGCGUGGGGAGCAAACAGG
This 253-nucleotide ribosomal RNA is filed under the name uncultured bacterium. Its description in RNAcentral is "partial 16S ribosomal RNA". It matches the Rfam family "Bacterial small subunit ribosomal RNA", at positions 524 to 776 of the family's 1533-position model. The record is from RNAcentral.